RNAcentral lists this ribosomal RNA (492 nucleotides) under uncultured bacterium. RNAcentral's name for it is "partial 16S ribosomal RNA". It matches the Rfam family "Bacterial small subunit ribosomal RNA", at positions 29 to 507 of the family's 1533-position model. The record is from RNAcentral.
AGUGAACGCUGGCGGUAGGCCUAACACAUGCAAGUCGAACGGCAGCACAGUAAGAGCUUGCUCUUACGGGUGGCGAGUGGCGGACGGGUGAGGAAUACAUCGGAAUCUACUUUUUCGUGGGGGAUAACGUAGGGAAACUUACGCUAAUACCGCAUACGACCUACGGGUGAAAGCAGGGGAUCUUCGGACCUUGCGCGGUUGAAUGAGCCGAUGUCGGAUUAGCUAGUUGGCGGGGUAAAGGCCAACCAAGGCGACGAUCCGUAGCUGGUCUGGGAGGAUGAUCAGCCACACUGGAACUGAGACACGGUCCAGACUCCUACGGGAGGCAGCAGUGGGGAAUAGUGGACAAUGGGCGCAAGCCUGAUCUAGCCAUACCGCGUGGGUGAAGAAGGCCUUCGGGUUGUAAAGCCCUUUUGUUGGGAAAGAAAAGCAGCAGGUUAAUACCCCGCUGUUCUGACGGUACCCAAAGAAUAAGCACCGGCUAACUUCGUG